This 777-nucleotide long non-coding RNA is filed under the name Gallus gallus (chicken). The record is from RNAcentral. Lineage: Eukaryota; Metazoa; Chordata; Aves; Galliformes; Phasianidae.
UGUGGAGCUGCGUCCGGGCGAGAGGCGGAAGGUGGGCGUCGGGGGUUGCUCUGGGGCUCCUGGUGCCGGGAAAGAGCCUUCCUCGGGGUGAGGGAAGAGCUUCACCCCUGUUUAGGAGUUUUUAAGGGCAGUACUAAAGCACCACUUUUGGAAACCCAGGUUUGCAGUUGCUUUUAUAUCCGUAGGAAACUGAAAUGCCUGUAAAUUUCCUCUGUUUGUUUGCACAUCCACCGCAUGCGGGCUUCCUCACAAGCACGCAGCGAACCCCCCAAAAACCCAUCCAAGUUAUCAGAAACUCUGUUCCCUUAUUUUAGGUAGCUCUGGGUAACCCUACCAGACCUUAGUGCAGCCUAAAUGAAACCUCACUUUCUGUUCCCUCCUCUAGUCAGUAAUCAGCUGUGAGAGACAGGAACUCCAGGGGAAAGGCCUUCCAACGCAGCACCACUAAAUCUCAAAGUCUGCGAGACAAAGGUCUGAAGACAGACAGAUGCCUGCACAAACAGCAAGUUAAGCUACUGGCAUUGGAAAGAAUUCACUCCAGUUCCAGUCACAGCAGCAGAAGAAGUACACUAUGGCUGGAACAGAAGCAGAGCAGAAGUUCUGGUUACAGAACUGUGAGAUAUCACUUGGAAUUGAAGCCAUAGAGUUUAUGACAUUGGAAGAAACUGCGUGACUGGACCUAGUAAACCAUUUUAUUUUUCCUGAGUCUGGAGCAAGAGAUAGUGCCUAUCUGCUACAGUCACGAACAUGAUAUAUAGAGAUAGGUGUAGAUACAGA